CCGUAGCACACAUAACCAACACCUCACAUGGCGUAUUCACGAUGUUGAGGUAUUGACAUACAAUCACAUUUAUCAAUAUACAGCAAGUAGGUAAUUUGGUGUUGAAUGCCAGUAGGUCAGAAUUUGUUAAUUGAAUUUUACCUGUAAAAGGGUCACUAGCUGUCAAAUUCAUGUUCAUCGAUUUUAAUCAAAUUCACAUAACGUGUGGUGUUGAAUUGUUUAUUAAAAUUCCACGCACAAUCUUGGCUGAUAUGCAUAAAACCAUUAUUUCAUGAACCUGCAUGAAAUAUUGACUUAUCACAGAACUAAAAAAAUAAACCACCGAAAGUCCACAUAAAAGGGUAUGGUGGAUGUAAAUUAACAGAAUAGAGAAUAACGGGC
This 381-nucleotide long non-coding RNA is filed under the name Mytilus galloprovincialis (Mediterranean mussel). Lineage: Eukaryota; Metazoa; Mollusca; Bivalvia; Mytilida; Mytilidae. The record is from RNAcentral.